This 490-nucleotide ribosomal RNA is filed under the name uncultured bacterium. RNAcentral describes it as "partial 16S ribosomal RNA". It matches the Rfam family "Bacterial small subunit ribosomal RNA", at positions 29 to 523 of the family's 1533-position model. The record is from RNAcentral.
AAUGAACGUUGGCGGCGUGGAUUAGGCAUGCAAGUCGAGCGAGAAGAGUUUGGUAGCUUGCUAUUGAACUCGGAAAGCGGCGAAAGGGAGAGUAACGCGUAGUUACGUGCCCCAGGGUUCGGAAUAGCCACGGGAAACUGUGGGUAAUGCCGAAUAACAUCUCCGGAUCAAAGGUGUGAUUCCGCCCUGGGAGCGGACUGCGUCCUACUAGCUAGUUGGCGGGGUAAUGGCCCACCAAGGCAACAAUGGGUAGCGGGGGUGAGAGCAUGACCCGUCUUACUGGGACUGAGACAAUGCCCAGACACCUACGGGUGGCUGCAGUCGAGAAUCUUCGGAAAUGGGCGAAAGCCUGAACGAGCGACGCCGCGUGCGGGAUGAAGGCCCUCGGGUUGUAAACCGCUGUCGUAGGGGAGGAAGGCUCCAUGAAGAAUGGGGUUUGACCUAUCCUAGGAGGAAGUACGGGCUAAGUUCGUGCCAGCCGCCGCAGUAA